This 1638-nucleotide ribosomal RNA is filed under the name Triticum aestivum (bread wheat). RNAcentral's name for it is "partial small subunit ribosomal RNA". The record is from RNAcentral. Lineage: Eukaryota; Viridiplantae; Streptophyta; Magnoliopsida; Poales; Poaceae.
AUGCAUCCCGGACAAACACUUCCCAACCCCGACCAACCGCAGCCACCACGCACGCACGCUAGCCGGCCCAAGGUGCUACGUACGUACGCCACCAUGAGCGCCGCCGCCCAAGAAACCACGGCCGGCGGCGGCGGCGGCGAUGGCAAGCGUCAGGGACCUUGCCGCCCGGGACACCUCAAGCUUGGCUACCACAUCGUGGUGUCCAACGCGGUCUACGUGCUGCUGGCCCCGUUCGCCGCGGCGUUGGCGCUCCGCGCGUCCCGUCUCACCCCGUCCGACCUCGCGGCAGCGCGCGCCUACCUCCUCGCCAACCUCCAGCUCGCUGCCUCCCUCGUGUCCGUCGCCACGGCCCUCGCGACGGCCUACCUCGCGCGGCGGCCGCGCGCGGUGUACCUGCUGGACUUCGCGUGCUACAAGCCCGGGCCCGACCACGUGGUCACCCGGGAGACCUUCAUGAGGCAGUCCAGCAAGGCCGGGGCGUUCACCGACGACAACCUGGCGUUCCAGCGGAAGAUCCUGGAGCGGUCGGGGCUCGGGCAGGGGACCUACUUCCCGGCGGCGGUGCUCAACUCGCCCCCUAACCCGUGCAUGGCGGAGGCGCGGCGGGAGGCGGAGGCUGUUAUGUUCGGCGCCAUCGACAGCCUGCUCGCCAAGACAGGGGUGCGGGCCAGGGACAUCGGCGUCGUGGUCGUCAACUGCAGCCUCUUCAACCCGACGCCGUCGCUCUCCGCCAUGGUCGUCAACCACUAUAAGCUCCGCGGUAACGUCGCCAGCUACAACCUCGGCGGCAUGGGAUGCAGCGCCGGGCUCAUCUCCAUCGACCUGGCCAAGCAGCUGCUCCAGGUCCACCGGAACUCGUACGCGCUGGUGGUGAGCAUGGAGAACAUCACGCUGAAUUGGUACUGGGGCAACGACCGCUCCAUGCUCAUGUCCAACUGCCUCUUCCGCAUGGGCGGCGCGGCGAUCCUCCUCAGCAACCGCGCCGCCGACAAGCGCCGCUCAAAGUACCAGCUCAUGCACACCGUGCGGACGCACCACGGCGCCGACGACCGCGCCUACCGCUGCGUGUUCCAGGAGGAGGACAAGGCUGGCCGGGUCGGCGUCGCGCUCUCCAAGGACCUCAUGGCCGUCGCCGGCGAGGCCCUCAAGACCAACAUCACCACGCUCGGCCCCCUCGUUCUCCCCAUGUCCGAGCAGAUCCUUUUCCUCACCUCUCUCAUCGGCAAGAAGAUCUUUGGCCUCAAAAUGAAGCCCUACAUUCCGGACUUCAAGAUGGCGUUCGAGCACUUCUGCAUCCAUGCCGGCGGCAGGGCGGUGCUGGACACCAUCGAGAAGAACCUGGAGCUCAGUGACUGGCACAUGGAGCCUUCAAGGAUGACGUUGAACCGGUGGGGGAACACGUCCAGCAGCUCGCUCUGGUACGAGCUUGCGUACACGGAGGCCAAGGGACGCGUCCGGCGCGGGCACCGUGCGUGGCAGAUCGCCUUCGGGUCAGGGUUCAAGUGUAACAGCGCGGUGUGGCGCGCGCUCAAGGACAUUCACCCGUCAAAGGAAGCCGGCAGCAACCCGUGGAUUGAGGAGAUCCACCGGUUCCCGGUCGAGGUGCCCAAGGUGGAGAGCGUCGUUUCAUCGCCAUGA